CUGUGCUACAUGGGGAGGUAGCGGUGCCCUGUACUUGCAAUCCGCUGUAGCAAGGUGGAAUUCCCUCUCUAGGCUUAUAUUGUGAGGGCUGACUUUUUUAAGUGGCGUUGAUAACCCGGUCUCGUGCAAUGAGACCCCGUGAACCCUGUCAGGUCCGGAAGGAAGCAGCAGUAAGCGGAUCGUCUCGUGUGACGCGAGGGCGCCGGGUUAGAGUUAACUGUAAGAGUACGCUUGUGAUAUAAUGUCGAAAGAGGGUGCACAG
This 262-nucleotide signal recognition particle RNA is filed under the name Sedimentibacter sp. MB35-C1. RNAcentral describes it as "signal recognition particle sRNA large type". It matches the Rfam family "Bacterial large signal recognition particle RNA". From Rfam's summary of the family: The signal recognition particle (SRP) is a universally conserved ribonucleoprotein involved in the co-translational targeting of proteins to membranes. Archaeal SRP consists of a 7S RNA and homologues of the eukaryotic SRP19 and SRP54 proteins. The record is from RNAcentral. RNAcentral also lists the same sequence under 1 other name. Lineage: Bacteria; Bacillati; Bacillota; Tissierellia.